This 253-nucleotide ribosomal RNA is filed under the name uncultured bacterium. RNAcentral describes it as "partial 16S ribosomal RNA". It matches the Rfam family "Bacterial small subunit ribosomal RNA", at positions 524 to 776 of the family's 1533-position model. The record is from RNAcentral.
UACGUAGGGUGCAGGCGUUAAUCGGAAUUACUGGGCGUAAAGCGUGCGCAGGCGGCUUCUUAAGUCAGAUGUGAAAGCCCCGGGCUUAACCUGGGAACUGCGUUUGAAACUGGGAGACUUGAGUGUGGCAGAGGGGGGUGGAAUUCCACGUGUAGCAGUGAAAUGCGUAGAUAUGUGGAGGAACACCGGUGGCGAAGGCGUCCAUCUGGCCCGAUACUGACGCUGAGGCGCGAAAGCUAGGGGAGCGAACGGG